UGCUGCUAGUCAGACAAAGGAAGCAAUCUGAAGACAUCACUCUGGAUCUCUGAUCACCUCCCAUGAGGCUGUCAUUAUUUUUUACA
Long non-coding RNA from Myripristis murdjan (pinecone soldierfish), 86 nucleotides. RefSeq lists it as uncharacterized. Lineage: Eukaryota; Metazoa; Chordata; Actinopteri; Holocentriformes; Holocentridae. The record is from RefSeq and is a predicted model, not a curated record. The transcript has 3 exons.